This 1116-nucleotide long non-coding RNA is filed under the name Salvia miltiorrhiza (redroot sage). Its description in RNAcentral is "long non-coding RNA (SMIL_LNC004717)". Lineage: Eukaryota; Viridiplantae; Streptophyta; Magnoliopsida; Lamiales; Lamiaceae. The record is from RNAcentral.
GGGAUGAUUGUAUGUGAUAUGAUGGAUAUAUAAGCCAAUGUUUACAAGAAGAAAAAUAUAUAAGCCAAUGUUUAUGUAUUCAACUCUCCAAAAUCAGAUAGUUGUAUGCUUCUGUAAAAUAAAAUCCUAACCAUAAGCUACAGUUAGCUAUCAAUACUGAGGGGGGGGAAAAGAGUGAAACACGAACAUGAUUGUUGAGACAAUAACUACAGCUUUUCUUAUACUUUCAUUUCUGAUAACACGCAUCAACAUCUACAGAACCAAUGCCAUCUGUGAUUGUUGUGACAAUAGUUAAUGCACGGGAACUCCAUCUUAUCAUGCUUCGGGUGCCAAAUUCAGCAACGACUGAGGUUUACACGAAUAAAAAAGAACCAUAAAGAAAAUUAGAAGCUUAUAAGAUAUGUUCAACAAAAAAUCUGAGCAGUCAUAAAAGUAAACUAAUGAAACUGAGGAGUGAGGAAAAGGAAAAAUGCAAAUGAGACCAACUUACAAAUUUACAAUGAUCUCUCACUCACAGGGUCGACCUAGAACUGCAGAUAACAGAGCACGUGUAAGUGAAAGAACACAAAGGAGAUAAGGGGAAAAGAGAACACCAAUUCUAGCCAAGAGUAGAUAUGCAAGAAAUCCAGAGAUCAGAAGAAGCAGUUUCAGCAAGAAAUCCAGAGAUCAGAAAAAGUAGGACAUGGUUGGAUAGAGCAAAGAUCAAACGAGACGAUGAAGUAAGACGAUGUAAUUUAAGGAUUACCGCGUCUCUGCUGGUCUUGCCACUUCUCCGCGUGGUCCUGAAAUCCUUGAUUAAUCCCGAAGGUAAUAAUCUGUCCACAACUCUCUUUUCAUGUCUACCUACAACACAACAUCGCAAGACUACAAAUUAAGCUCUUCUUAUCGGUUAAAUAAUCUAUUUUUCCAGAAGGGUUCGCGCUAGUUUCUACCUUAUUCAGCUCCUGAGUUUGACAUCUUUCUCAGCAUUCUUGAGAUACCGAAUCACUUCAGGUUUGGAGUUGAAUUUGAGGUCAUUUGAUGGAUUCACAUAAUGCUAGGCAUGUCCAAACAGAAUAAUCAGAACACUAUUCCACCAUAAAAGGUUGAGUCUUUCUUAAUUUUAGUAGAAGUUUC